This 253-nucleotide ribosomal RNA is filed under the name uncultured bacterium. RNAcentral describes it as "partial 16S ribosomal RNA". It matches the Rfam family "Bacterial small subunit ribosomal RNA", at positions 524 to 776 of the family's 1533-position model. The record is from RNAcentral.
UACGUAGGGGGCGAGCGUUGUCCGGAAUUAUUGGGCGUAAAGAGCGUGUAGGCGGUUCGGUAAGUCUGCCGUGAAAACCUGAGGCUCAACCUCGGGCGUGCGGUGGAUACUGCCGGGCUAGAGGACGGUAGAGGCGAGUGGAAUUCCCGGUGUAGCGGUGAAAUGCGCAGAUAUCGGGAGGAACACCUAUGGCGAAGGCAGCUCGCUGGGACGUUACUGACGCUGAGACGCGAAAGCGUGGGGAGCAAACAGG